GCUUCCUACCCACUAGCACAGGGAACAGCCUGGGAGAGAACUGGGAGAAGGGGGCCUUGGGCCAGUCCCAGUUUUGAGGAACCAGUCCAGACAACUGUGUGCUCCUGGUAUUACUCAUCUCUGCAGCCCAGUGUCUGGAAGAAGCUGACACCAAGUAGACAUCAAUGCACUUGUAAAACAAGUAAAGGAUCUUGGACCUGAAAUUUUUCACUCUUAGUAGUACUCCAGAGCCUUCCAGCAAAUGUUUUCUUAACA
Molecule: long non-coding RNA, 255 nt
Organism: Phacochoerus africanus (Common warthog)
Lineage: Eukaryota; Metazoa; Chordata; Mammalia; Artiodactyla; Suidae
Exons: 3
Source: RefSeq, a predicted model, not a curated record